Molecule: long non-coding RNA, 1896 nt
Filed under: Scleropages formosus (Asian bonytongue)
Lineage: Eukaryota; Metazoa; Chordata; Actinopteri; Osteoglossiformes; Osteoglossidae
Description: lncRNA (ENSSFOG00015032262.1)
Source: RNAcentral
GGCAUGUUCCACUCCCGGCGCACAUGCCGCUUAGUUGCCGGCAGCAGCUCCGCACUUUGCAUCACCGCAGUAAGGAUAUUCCACGUUCAGAGUCGAGCAGCAAACCCCGGACAAUCGCUCCGCAUGUUCGCAGGAGCUGCAGAAGAUCUGCACCCUGAGAGGACUGACAGCCUGGGAGGCCACGCCAAAAGCAAAGCGCACGACUGUGACACCACGGAACACCUUGACCGCCACCGUGUCCACGACCGUCUCCGCAGGUGACGCCAGGCCACUAAACGCUAACUGCCGGGUACCUCCCUACUCCUUCCAGUCCGUAUUCUCCUCGAUGGACUCAUCUGGACAGUAAUCCCACAUCACUUACCUUCCGUGCUUCCAAAAUGUCAACAUUCACUGUACAUCACAGCUUCAGAACUGCAAAUUUCAGGCGCUCCUGUCAGCACACGUCUGUCUGUCCGCGGUGCGGCGCGAGUCGGCAAACUCCCGGCACUCCGACUCCGCGAGCUCGGCAUUCUGAGGACAGCUGGUACCGUAAGUGGUUAGAGCUACCGUCUUUGGAUCCAAAGGUUGUGAGUUUAAUCCCCACCUCCAGCUGUAGUACCCUUGAGCAAGGUACUCACCCUAAAAUUACCCAGCUGUAUAAAUGGGUAAAUAAUUACAACCUUAAUACUGUAAGUUGCAUUAGAGGAAAGGCAUCAGCUGAAUGUAAUGUGAGACGAGGGCUUGGAGGAAUUCACCUGAAUGUGUUCAAUGCCUGCACAAUACAUGAUAAGGAGGUGACUGUGAACUGUUGCACAAAGUUUGAUGGUGCACUUUCCCUCCAUGCGCAGCGACGGUGUAAACCCAUUCAACGGUGCAGACGCGUGCUUGCCGGGAGACAAGUGAAAUGGGAGCAGUGAAGGAAGCCAAGCAUGCGUUUGGGUCACGCACACCUGCCCAGCGGACUGGGAUUUGAGCAAACGCAGCCUGCUGGCGGCCUUUGGGAAGAUUCCCUUCAGCCGCUGUGCGACGGAGCAGAUCCCAGCAGCAUGCCUGGUGUCAGGAUGCUGACAGGUGCCUCUGUGAGUGAAACGAUACUCUUUACUCACAAACACGGUGACUGUGGUUUUAGCCUUCAAUACAGUUUGACUCAUUGUUAGAUGACGCUACGAGAGUUUGUAACUACAGCAUUUAAGAUCUCCAUGGCAACAGGCGCAUGCGAAGGUUAUGAAUCAGCCGUGUAACAUUCCUCCACCGCUCCUCCGGCCCGAGGCCCCCGCCCUCCAACCACAGACACGUCCGACACACAGACACACCUGUCGCCGCUACUGACUCAGAACGUUUAUGCUGGGGUUACAGCGCAGAAACCCCGAGUCGCCAGGAGCACCAUGAUCCCAUGACACCAAGCGCUGAGUCCAGAGGUAUGCUGAGAAUGCUGAGAUUACACGACAUAAGAACAUUUCUUUGACUUAGUCUGAAAUAACUUCUAAUAAUCCUCGCCAGGUUUGGGAAAAGGCCUGCAAUAGCGCCUUCUUGCAGUGCAGUUGUAAAUAUUGUCCCUGCCUUUGUUUCCACUACAUAUUGAAAGAUAUUAUGACAACAUGGUGCCCUUGUAAAAAUGUACAGAUAAUCUGAACUUUAUCGACUCUGAGGCUGUAGGGGGUUUUCAAUUAUUAAGUAACUGCCGUGGCAACAGUUGUUGAUGCUGCUUGGUGGAAGGCUCCUCCGGCUAUACGGGCUUUUUUUUAUAAGGGUGUGAUGGAGUUCAGUUGAGCUGCUACAAUUGCCCGUUUUUAAAGGACAGCAGACAGAGAGAGAGAGCGUUUCCCCCGAGCCUCCACUCACCCCUGGUGUUAAUUUGCCCCCACGCUGUGCUUUAUACUGCAGCCACAGAUAACGUGUCACAGCCGCGGAGCUCCA